This 292-nucleotide ribosomal RNA is filed under the name uncultured bacterium. Its description in RNAcentral is "partial 16S ribosomal RNA". It matches the Rfam family "Bacterial small subunit ribosomal RNA", at positions 505 to 796 of the family's 1533-position model. The record is from RNAcentral.
GUGUCAGCAGCCGCGGUAAUACGGAAGGUGCGAGCGUUAAUCGGAAUUACUGGGCGUAAAGCGCACGUAGGUGGCUUGGUAAGUCGGAUGUGAAAGCCCCGGGCUCAACCUGGGAACGGCAUUCGAUACUGCUGAGCUAGAGUACGAAAGAGGGGGGUGGAAUUCCAGGUGUAGCGGUGAAAUGCGUAGAGAUCUGGAGGAACACCAGUGGCGAAGGCGGCCCCCUGGUUCGAUACUGACGCUGAGGUGCGAAAGCGUGGGGAGCAAACAGGAUUAGAAACCCUCGUAGUCC